This 1069-nucleotide ribosomal RNA is filed under the name Kocuria sp. Its description in RNAcentral is "bacterial SSU rRNA". It matches the Rfam family "Bacterial small subunit ribosomal RNA", at positions 57 to 1136 of the family's 1533-position model. Lineage: Bacteria; Bacillati; Actinomycetota; Actinomycetes; Micrococcales; Micrococcaceae. The record is from RNAcentral.
GCAAGUCGAACGAUGAUGCCCAGCUUGCUGGGCGGAUUAGUGGCGAACGGGUGAGUAAUACGUGAGUAACCUGCCCUUGACUCUGGGAUAAGCCUGGGAAACUGGGUCUAAUACUGGAUACUACCUCUUACCGCAUGGUGGGUGGUGGAAAGGGUUUUACUGGUUUUGGAUGGGCUCACGGCCUAUCAGCUUGUUGGUGGGGUAAUGGCUCACCAAGGCGACGACGGGUAGCCGGCCUGAGAGGGUGACCGGCCACACUGGGACUGAGACACGGCCCAGACUCCUACGGGAGGCAGCAGUGGGGAAUAUUGCACAAUGGGCGGAAGCCUGAUGCAGCGACGCCGCGUGAGGGAUGACGGCCUUCGGGUUGUAAACCUCUUUCAGUAGGGAAGAAGCGAGAGUGACGGUACCUGCAGAAGAAGCGCCGGCUAACUACGUGCCAGCAGCCGCGGUAAUACGUAGGGCGCAAGCGUUGUCCGGAAUUAUUGGGCGUAAAGAGCUCGUAGGCGGUUUGUCGCGUCUGCUGUGAAAGCCCGGGGCUCAACCCCGGGUCUGCAGUGGGUACGGGCAGACUAGAGUGCAGUAGGGGAGACUGGAAUUCCUGGUGUAGCGGUGAAAUGCGCAGAUAUCAGGAGGAACACCGAUGGCGAAGGCAGGUCUCUGGGCUGUUACUGACGCUGAGGAGCGAAAGCAUGGGGAGCGAACAGGAUUAGAUACCCUGGUAGUCCAUGCCGUAAACGUUGGGCACUAGGUGUGGGGGACAUUCCACGUUUUCCGCGCCGUAGCUAACGCAUUAAGUGCCCCGCCUGGGGAGUACGGCCGCAAGGCUAAAACUCAAAGGAAUUGACGGGGGCCCGCACAAGCGGCGGAGCAUGCGGAUUAAUUCGAUGCAACGCGAAGAACCUUACCAAGGCUUGACAUUCACCGGACCGCCCCAGAGAUGGGGUUUCCCUUCGGGGCUGGUGGACAGGUGGUGCAUGGUUGUCGUCAGCUCGUGUCGUGAGAUGUUGGGUUAAGUCCCGCAACGAGCGCAACCCUCGUUCUAUGUUGCCAGCACGUGAUGGUGGGG